RNAcentral lists this ribosomal RNA (485 nucleotides) under uncultured bacterium. RNAcentral's name for it is "bacterial SSU rRNA". It matches the Rfam family "Bacterial small subunit ribosomal RNA", at positions 917 to 1382 of the family's 1533-position model. The record is from RNAcentral.
GGACCCGCACAAGCGGUGGAACAUGUGGUUUAAUUCGAUGCUACGCGAAAAACCUCACCAAGGCUUGACAUACAGGAAGUAGUGAACCGAAAGGGGAACGACCUGUCAAAUCAGGAGCCUGAACAGGUGCUGCAUGGCUGUCGUCAGCUCGUGUCGUGAGAUGUUGGGUUAAGUCCCGCAACGAGCGCAACCAUUGUCUUUAGUUGCAACCAUUUUUAACCUUCGGGUUAGGAGUGAGCACUCUAAAGAGACUGCCUGGGUUAACCAGGAGGAAGGUGGAGAUGACGUCAAGUCAGUACGGCCUUUAUGCCUUGGGCUACACACGUGUUACAAUGGUCAGUACAAAGGGUUGCCAACCCGUAAGGGGGAGCUAAUCUCAAAAAACUGACCUCAGUUCGGAUUGAAGUCUGCAAUUCGACUUCAUGAAGCUGGAAUCGCUAGUAAUGGUAGAUCAGCACGCUACCGUGAAUACGUUCCCGGGUCUU